CUGAACUGUGCUAAGGUAGCAAAAUAGCUUGAUGAAUAAUUUUCAUCUAGAAUAAAAGGACUGACAAGAAUAAACCUAUCUUUUUUUAAAAAUAAAAAUUUUAAUUUAAGUAAAAAUACUUAACUACUUUAGAAGGACGACAAGACCUUAGAACCUAAACAUUACUUUAAGUUAUUUACUGGGGUGGUAAAUUUUAUCCAAAUUUAAUUUUAACACCCUAAUUGAAUCUUUCUUACCUAAAAGCUAAAUUUAAAAAGGUACUCUAGGGAUAACAGCACAAAUAUCUUUUAGAGCCCCUAUCGAUAAGAUUUUAUGUGACCUCGAUGUUGAAUUAUUGUUCCUUAUUAAGAGUAAUCUCUAGUCAAGGAGGUCUGUUCGACCUUUAUUCCAAUACGUGAUCUGAGUUCAGA
RNAcentral lists this ribosomal RNA (410 nucleotides) under unidentified. RNAcentral's name for it is "Burmoniscus sp. partial 16S ribosomal RNA". It matches the Rfam family "Bacterial large subunit ribosomal RNA", at positions 1941 to 2615 of the family's 2925-position model. The record is from RNAcentral.